This 389-nucleotide ribosomal RNA is filed under the name uncultured bacterium. RNAcentral describes it as "bacterial SSU rRNA". It matches the Rfam family "Bacterial small subunit ribosomal RNA", at positions 28 to 417 of the family's 1533-position model. The record is from RNAcentral.
GACGAACGCUGGCGGCGUGCUUAACACAUGCAAGUCGAGCGGUAAGGCCCUUUCGGGGGUACACGAGCGGCGAACGGGUGAGUAACACGUGGGUGACCUGCCCUCAGCUCUGGGAUAAGCCUGGGAAACCGGGUCUAAUACUGGAUAUGACUCCAUGACGCAUGUUGUGGGGUGGAAAGCCUUGUGCGGCUGAGGAUGGGCCCGCGGCCUAUCAGCUUGUUGGUGGGGUGANGGCCUACCAAGGCGACGACGGGUAGCCGGCCUGGGAGGGCGACCGGCCACACUGGGACUGAGACACGGCCCAGACUCCUACGGGAGGCAGCAGGUGGGGAAUCUUGCGCAAUGGGCGAAAGCCUGACGCAGCGACGCCGCGUGAGGGAUGACGGCCU